This 285-nucleotide ribosomal RNA is filed under the name uncultured bacterium. Its description in RNAcentral is "partial 16S ribosomal RNA". It matches the Rfam family "Bacterial small subunit ribosomal RNA", at positions 773 to 1060 of the family's 1533-position model. The record is from RNAcentral.
GUGGAUUAGAUACCCUGGUAGUCCACGCCGUAAACGAUGAGCACUAGGUGUCGGGGUCGCAAGACUUCGGUGCCGCAGUUAACGCAUUAAGUGCUCCGCCUGGGGAGUACGCACGCAAGUGUGAAACUCAAAGGAAUUGACGGGGACCCGCACAAGCAGCGGAGCAUGUGGUUUAAUUCGAAGCAACGCGAAGAACCUUACCAGGACUUGACAUCCCUCUGACAGGACUUUAACAGGUCCCUCCUUCGGGCAGAGGUGACAGGUGGUGCACGGCUGUCGACAACU